Molecule: long non-coding RNA, 1160 nt
Organism: Pocillopora damicornis (cauliflower coral)
Lineage: Eukaryota; Metazoa; Cnidaria; Anthozoa; Scleractinia; Pocilloporidae
Source: RefSeq, a predicted model, not a curated record
UUGAGCCACUUGCCGGUUAGGUGUGGGGUCAGCAACCCCACCCUGGGAAAAACCAUACUGCUACAGAAACGUCAAUACAGGUUCAAACUUCAUCCCUGGAAGAGGAAGUACCUUCAUAAAGAAGACAUAUGAAGCCAUUUGGUGAAAGCCGUAAUUUCACGGAAGCCGUAGGGCCGGUCCCCUUUCUCUCAAACAGGGCCAUAAAGAUUGGUACAUGGAACGUAAAAACCAUGUAGGUGGGGAAGACCGCACGGGUUGCAGUAGAGAUGAAAGAAUGUCAGCUUUCCGUUUUAGGAAUUAGCGAAACCCACUGGAAGCAGUCCUGACAGAAAAGACUAACGUCAGCACAAAGAGCACCCAUCAGCAUCCUUCAGAACCGGGAUGAGCCAGAUCAAGAUGAAUGUCGUACAAUGCUACGCAUCAACCAACGAUAGACGAUAGCGAAGAAGGAAGUAAGGACUAGUUUCACAACAGGCUAGAGUGCAUCGUUAAACAGCUGUCAGAAAAGGAUGUCAACAUAGUCAUGGUAGACUUCAAUACAAAGAUUGGGGCAGGCAAUACUAGCCACACAGAAGCGAUGGGAACACAUGGACUUGGAAAAAUAAACGAAAGCGGCGAAACUGAUAUUUUCUGACACCUGUGCUCUUCACAACAUAGUCAUUGGAGGUGGCAUCUUUCCAAGAAUACACCGCGAUCAACAAAGAAGUAAAGACAAGUGUCAAGCCGGAAAAACGCAGCUACGUAGAAAGACUAGCAGAGGAAGUAGAAGAUGCAGCAGCUGGAAGAAACAUGAAGGAACUCAACGAAACCACCAAGAAAUUGUCGGGCAGAUAGUAUUCAAAAUUAGUAUUAGUGUAACCACCGUGGGAGAAAGCAGCAGAGUGGUAAUAUGAAGUGGUACGUUAUUUCAGCGGUGUUGUGCAGUUUUGUGACUUUUUCACAUGCCGAGGAAUCGAAGACACCUUCACAGCUGAAGAUGCCAUCGAGAUUUACAUCCGUAGACAUCUCAGGUAGUAGAUAUCCAGACAAUUAAAUGUUCCGAUAAGCAAUAUUGUCGUGAUAAUCAAACAUGUUGUCUUGCUCUUGGAGUGCCGUAUGGAUGCUGUCCUUUACCAAAGGCUGUUUGUUGCCCGAAUAAAAGAACCUGUUGUCCACAUGGA